GGUCACAACGGAGGUGGAGGACUCGGAGGCGGCGGGGGACUCGGAGGCGGAUCCGGAGGAGGACUCGGAGGCGGUGGGGGAUUUGGAGGCGGCUUUGGUCGUUAAACCCCGGAGCCAGACGACCCUUCGGCGCAACUUCUGCAACAUUCGGCAAAUGUAAUUGGUAAUAAACAAAAAAA
Molecule: non-coding RNA, 179 nt
Organism: Penaeus vannamei (Pacific white shrimp)
Lineage: Eukaryota; Metazoa; Arthropoda; Malacostraca; Decapoda; Penaeidae
Source: RefSeq, a predicted model, not a curated record